Molecule: long non-coding RNA, 2247 nt
Filed under: Solanum tuberosum (potato)
Lineage: Eukaryota; Viridiplantae; Streptophyta; Magnoliopsida; Solanales; Solanaceae
Description: long non-coding RNA (STUB_LNC011151)
Source: RNAcentral
CCUGGAAUAUGGAGGGCAAAAAGUUGAAAUGUAUGAAAGGCAAAAAGGCUGCUAAAAUCUAAAUAAAGAGUUUAACAAGUAGCAAAAUCUUUACCCUUUUAACCUUUGUGGCUGCUUGUCCUUAUCCUGUCUUGACCUUUUACAUUCUCAGAUUCCUCCUUUUAACCUAAAAUAUAUAUUUUUAUGUAAAAAUAAAUGAAUGCACACCUUUAGAAGAUGAAGAUAGCGGAGAUGAGAAUAUUCAGAUGAAUGUGUGGACAUAUUAGAAAGAGAAAAUACAUAAAGUCCCCAUUAAACUUAGACCUUAUUUUGAAGUAGACACUUAAAGUUUGUGGGAGUCUCAUUAUCCCAUUGAAUCAUUUUCAACCAAACUAAAUACGCUAUUUUUAGCAAUUUCUACUCCAAUUCUCCACGCGUGUCUCUCACCCCCUAAUAAAAUAAUAUAAUUAUUUAUAUUUUUCUACCCGUUUUUAUAAAGGCCGGGUUCUUAACUUUACCCGCCCACAUUUUAACCUUUCCUCCUAAUAAUUUUUUUCUAUCUUUUCUUCCCCAAAAUUGUGAUAUUGAGCGAUCUGAAGUAAGAUUGAUGCAAUUUCCACUCAUUGGGCUGUUUCAAUUCUUACAUAAAAUUAAUAUUAAUGAGUUCUAAUUAUUUGUAUCGGUUAAUGAGGUUGUUUUGAGAGAAUCUAGUGGAGUAUGAACAAUAAAUAUUUUUGAGGUCAAUCUCUUUCUUUUUUUCUUUUUUUUUGCUUUCUGUGUGUUUAGUCUGAGUUUUUCUUCAAUUUUUGAAUAAUAUUAUCAGAGGACGAAGGAGAAUCUAGCAUCUGCGUGUGGUAUCCUCUUUCUGAAAAUGGGUUUUUAUAAAAAAAAAGUCAGAAAUUCGAGGAUUGUUGUUGGCUUAAUGUAGUACUCAUCUUGUGAAAGUGAAUCGAAGUUUGAGAGAUAUUGCAGUGUUGACUCGUCAUGGCAUUGUAGCAAGCUUCAAUGGCUAUCAAUGGUGUUUGAAUUAAUUUGGGGAAGAUGGGUCUUUUUCUAAAAUAAAGAAUUCAAUUUACAAUGCCACAUGGCCGUUUUAUAUUGGUUUGGGGUUGUUUUUUAAGACACUCAUGCGCCGUGAAAACGUGAAAACAUAGCAGGUGCAGAGGUGGGUCAAAAUGACAUAUUUAGUUUGAUAGAAAGUAGUUUAGUGGGAUAAUAUGACUUCCACAAACUUUAAGUGUCUACUUCAAAAUAAGGUCUAAGUUCAAUGGGGACUUUAUGUAGAAAAAAUGAAAAUUAGGAACAAAGUUUUACAGAAGUGGCCUCGUAGCUGACAAGAUGAAGGAAGCGAAAUUGAGAUAGUUUGAAUAUGUGAAGAGAAGGUGUGUGGAAAGUUGACUAUAACAAGUUUUAUAAGAGAUAGAGGAUGUGAUUAGACAAAACAUGACCUAUCUCCAGCUUAUUGAAGACAUGAUCCUGAAUACGAAAGUAUGUAUGUUGAAGAUUACGUAGUAAAUAAUCGAGUGUUGUCAUACUUUUAAGUAGGAUAAGCAGCAUUUUUUGGCAUUCAUGACACAUCUUAUUUUUCAUUUUUUAUUAAAACAUGUUGCUUCAUUUACUUUGUUUAUCUUGCUAUUUUAUUAUCGCUAUUUUUCUUCUAAUCCUUCUUUGUUUACACAUUUUGAACCUAAGGUUUAUCGAAAACAACCUUCCUGCCCAACAAAAAUAGGAAUAAAGUCUAAGUACAUCCUACCUUACUCAAAUCCCACUUGAGGAACUACACUGAAUAUGUGAUUGUUGUUUACGUCCAAAAAGAAUAACCUAGAUUCAAGGUAUGAUUGUCAAAUUAACUUUUAAAUAUUAUUAAUCCUUCAGCCCUUCGCCUAUCGACUUGGAAGGCAAGCUACCUUGAUCCAUUUUCGACUUCAAUUCGUUACGCUCAGAAGCUCCAACUAACCCUUGUACAAAAUAGCAUGGAGAACACAUAAGUAUUCAUUAACUUGUUCCAAAGUACCAGUUACACCUAACAAACAAGUGUAUUGUUACAAGUACCAGAACACAGAGUACCAUACAUAUAUAUAUAAUUGCAGAGAAGAGGCGCAGCACGACAGAUUGCUCUGACUUAAUUUAUGGCAAGAAAGAGGUGCAGAACGACGAAUUGCACUGACUUGUUGAUGGCAAGUCCGCAAUGAAAUUGUGAUUUUCAAAAUGUGGUUCCUUCGAAAUAUAUCUUACCAGUUAUUGCUUCAGCCUCUGCGCAAUUGUGGC